GUGUUUGAGAGUUGCUAAGUAGAGGAAGGGAAGAAGAACUCCAAUUAUUUGGUUCUUUUUGUCUUGGAUAAGGAAAUUUAUCUUCAAGGACUGAGGUUAGAGAGAGCUAUGGAUGAGGACAAAGAAAUGGAUCACUGGUCACAAAGUCAACAGGUUGGACCACAUAUGGUAGCUUUUAGAGUGUGGACACCUUUUCCCUUGAGCAGCCUUUGUCCAAUAAAAUGCUAAGUAGAUAGGAAAAGGAAGCCACGGAUAUGUACUCUUUGAUAUUAGAUAUGAAUAUGGUAGCUUAUUAAGACAGGAAUUUUUUCAAUCAUUUCAUGAAUCAGAAAUGCAAUCUGCUCUCACUAACAUUAGUUGGAGGUAGCUAAAUAGAUGCCUAUACGCACCACGCAUGCAUUGGUGUUAAUGGUAGCAUAAACUUAGAAAAUUUGAGGACUGUUUUUCGAGAAUCUAAUAAAAUCUAACAAGUGCUUUUCUUCACGAAACACCUCAUGAGCUGAUUCACGAAUUCUAGAUAGAAUUACAUGGCUCUCAACUUCAUGAAAUUGUAAAAUCUAUGUGUGCGCGUCUAGCGAGGGGGUGCAAAUGGGUCGGGUCGAUAGAGUCAUGAGUGACCCCCGGCCCGACUUGGUUCCUUGUUUGGAUUCCAAAGUGGGACCCAAAUCCAACUCAAUAAAAAAUAUGGUCAAUGGAGUUGGGUCCACAACUAAAAUUUUUGACCUAAUGGAGCAUUCGAAUUGGGUAGGGUUGAUAAAUAAUACGAUCCUAACCCAAAAAGUCCGGAUCCGGAUUGGGUUAGGGUCACAUAUGGAGUUCUAAAGUAAAAGAGAUAAAUUUGGACAAGAAAAAAAUCUAGCUCCAUUGUAAGACAUAAUUAUCUCUGUGGAAGCAUGUAUAACAUAUUCCGCAUGAUAAGCUUUUCCAACAAAGCUCGGAAAAUAAUUAAAAAGAGUUCUACAAGUCGAGCAUUUCCUAUGAAUUAUACGAAUUAUCAUGUUUAAAGAUAUAUAAUAGACUGAAAUAGAGCAUGGAUAGAAUGCCAAGUCAGUGAUGGUAUCAAUCUAUAAUCUAAAAGUCAAACUUCUUAUAUCACUUAGCUAUCUAGUUUGCCAUAAUAUCCCAUAUAUCAUGUGAAAAAAAUCAGAUAAAAAAACUUGGAUUGGUGGGAUGAGGACACCAUUUAUUUCAAACUUAAUUAAUUGAUGAUGGAUGCCACUAUUAAAUGAUUCUAUAAAUUCUGGCACACAAUUCUAAUGCUUUCAAGUUCUAUGCUUUUUUUUUCUAUUGUAUUGCGCAUAGCUGAAGUUUAUAAAUGUAGUUUACAGAUUUUCUAUAUACCAAGACCUAACAUGAGUUAAACCAUCAAUUAAAAUAAACUUGAAUAACCUAUUCUAUGAUUAGUGCUUUAUAAAUCAUGGAGUAAAACAAUGAACAAGGUCAAGAAAUCUAAAAACAAAAGUAAUUAAAGGUUCCUUCAUUUAAGGUUUUUAUUUUUUAACCUGCUUUUCCUGUUAAACAAUUUCAUAAUUAAAGCCUGUUCAAUUAUAUGCUAAUACAAAAACCACAUAACUUUUAUUAGAUUGGGUUAGGUCGGGUGAUAGGCCAGAAGGCCUAAAGCAGACCCAUAUAACAAUUAGGGUGGAUCAGGUCGGGUUAGAUCAGAUUCGAACUCAAUAAAUACAUCAUGACUUGAAAUAUGGAAUAGGUCCAAAUUUGGAAUCCGACCCGGCCUCACGGAUCUCUAAAUCGGGUCUAAAUCGGGUCUAAGUGGGUCGGAUUGGAUUAGCUCAUGGAUGAACUCGACUCAUUUGCAACCUUAUGUCUAGUAAAAGUCAAAUAAGAGAACUCUAAUAGAUUUCAAGAUAGAAUUGUACAUUUGAUCUAGGUGGACAUCUAAAUAAGAUUCAAACCAAACCCAAUUUUAGUUUGCAUUCUUAAUUGCAGUUCAGAAGCUCUUUUCAUAAAAUUUUAGAAUUAUUAUUUUUAUUAAAUUUUUAUUUUUUAUAGAGAAAAAUGGGGUACUAGCAAUGGAGUCAGUAAAGUUCAAAGUAUAGUAAUUUCGUCAACAAUGUGGAGAAUCAUACAAAAACACAAAAUCAGAUAGACGAAGCUCGACGCCAUCUACCCUUCAGUGUCAUAUGACCGCAUGUGAUUUGUAAAUAAGCUGAUGUGGCAAAUAAAUUUCGCACGAUUUCUCCAUAUUAUUGAUCAAAUUACCAUAUUAUUAAACUUUUGUACCAAAAGUUCAUGGUACAAAAAUGUAUCCUUCCCUUUUGUAACAAUUUUAUGAUAGUGGACCUUACAUUAGUUUAACAAUUAUCAUAUUCCAUAUUUGCAAUCUCAUCUGUUUUUUUUAAUGAAACAAAAACUAUAUAUAUAUUUGAGAAUAAUGAUGACAAGGUGAUCUUUUUGAUUUUAAAAUUGAGACCCCGCCUAAGUGGAAAUGCGCGCGGAUGAGAGAAAAAAUUCCUCAGCAACAUGCUAAAGUUCCACUGGUACUAGGCAGCAAUUAGGUUUAAUCCCCCCUUUGAGAACCAAAUAACUAAUGGCAAUCAGCGACCAUGAUGCUUGAACAAAUUCUAGCUUGGAUUUAAUAAUUUAUUUUAAAAUUUUAAGAAUAAUUUUUUUAAUAACUUGAUAUGGUCUUAGUGGUUCUUGUUUUGGAAUCCAAGCUUAAUCCUUCUAGGUUACUAGGCUUUACAUACACUCCCACAGCCCUGCUCCCAGAGACAGGUAAAGACUAAAGAGGGCCUUCCUCUUGCCAUAUAUAUAUAUGAAAAAAAAAGGACUUCCAACUGUGCUUUAGGACAGGCCGGCUUUAAACACAUUGAAAAUUGAUAACAAAUUAAAAAAGCCAUUAUAGAAAGGAAAAAGGAGCAAAGCAGCAAGAUUCCCUAUAACUCUCCUGCCUAAAACCCAGCAAGCUCAUGAUUACACCCCAUCAAUAAAAUAAGGUUCAGCAAAACCAAGCCACUUCAUUGAAACAAGAUGUAAAACUAGGAGUUGUCGCUUAAAAAUACACAGUUUAACUGGUUAUAUGCCCGUGCUAAUCCAAAAUCCAGACUGGUCUCUCAAUGAUCGUUGAGCCAUCGACAUCUCAUCUAUAUUUGGUAAUUAUAGCCCCUACUAUCAGACACAAGAACCAAAUGUACCCUACAUCAACCCAUUUCAAGUCCAUAAAAUUUAAACAUUAUGUUCGGUUAGUUGAAUGACCUAAUGAGAAGGCUUCUCUAAAGGACUAAUAGAAAUGAGGCCAUUCAUAAAAUUAAAAAAAGGUUAAUGAUUCUAAUCAAUUUAUAACUAUACACCAGUGUUUAACUUCACAUCUAAAAGUCCCUUGCAAGCGUAGUCCUCGAUGCAAUUCUAGGUUGUCGCUAGGACUUCCAAUUAAGAUUUUCGGGUGCAGAUUUAGAUUGACAGUAAUUUGAAGGAUUUGUAUUUCCUUCAUUCUUUUUUUUAAAAAAAAAUCUAGAUUGGAGGAAGAUUAGCCAAAAUCAGGAUGAGGGCACAAUCAAACCUAGGUUAUCAGUAUUGAAUAUCCAAUUAUUUUCUAAUUCAACCGGCGUGCUCGAUAACUUAUAGAACCGAAAUCUGAAUAUAUAACUAAUUUAUAUUAGAUCUAGAUCUUUUCACAUUUAACUAGGUUAAGUCCAAUUAUGCAUUUUUUUUCUACUUUGAUUGAUGUUAAGAUCAACUUUGAGCUCAAGUCAAAACCAAAUUUAGGUUAUACAUGAUAUUCUCAUCUUACAUUAUUCCUCGCCACAGGACAUCAUCAUUUAUAUUAUUUUUAUUUUUUAUAAAGUAAAAAUUUCUUAUCCAAAAGUUUCUUGGAAAGCUGUAACCAAAAAAAUAUAAAAAUAACUCAUGAUAUAAGUAGAUCUAUAUGCAUAAAUUUAAUUUUGCUAUCCCAUUGUUUCUAUUCCCAAACCUAGGGCAGUGCUUCCAUCCACAGGUGACGGUGUACAUUGGCAUCAAUUCCCUGGAUGUUGAAGUGGGAGGUCAUGGUGGCACGAGAAGCAAGAGAAGACAAAACCGUCCCUUUUUUUUUUUUUAGUGCUCUAUUUGGUCGCAAAACCAAGACAAAUGAAUGAUGAUGUCCACGUACUUUCGCUUCCUUGGAUUGAAAGGAAAGCCUCCACAAAGACAGCCAAGAAGCCAUUCAUAAAACAUUAUCCGCUUCUUAUGUCAGACAAAAGACAGGAAGAGCUCCAACCAGGGGGAUUUUGAAAAAUGAUUCAAAGAGAGAGAACAAAAGGAGAAUGAAUGGAAAAAAGAAAAAGAUUAGGAACCCCUUUCAAGGGACAGCAAUUAUACCUAUCCGAGUUUCUUUAGUUAUUUGAGUUCAUGGUGGGAAGCCUCUUUCUCCGAGACAACUUCUGAACAUGGUUUCAUUUUUGACGUGCCAAGAGAGUUGUAGAUCAUUCAAUUGCUCUUGCACUGCACCAAAUUUGAAGGGCUAGUUCUUGCACACAAAUCGUUUGGUAGAUUAUGUCAUAAUAGCAAGCUUUUUCUCUAGGUCAUAUCGCAUCAUCUUUUACAUUGGAUUUUAAUGAUCUCCUUGAUUAUAUUAUUCUCUUUGGUGAAAGGUUUUGUAGAGUAAAAAUUUGUAAAGAAGUUGAACAGGUAAUUUGAUCAAGGUAUAUAGAGCAAUAUGAUAUACAAUAAGAAGUAGAAAUCCAUGUGUAGAUUUUCUAAUCAAGACUUAAGAUGUUUCUCUUUAGCUCUCUUCUUGCGCUUCAAAUGCCAAAACGGCAACUUCAGCCAAAGCGGUCCAUGUCGGACGUCAUUGGGUACAAGGAUCCUACUAUCCAAUUUAAAGUCUACAAAGACAAAUGCUAAAGGUUCCCUUCUACUUCUUCUUCUUUUGUUUUUCCAUUUCAGUUUAUGUUUGUAAACCACCAAGUAUUAUGGUUCCCCAAUAAUUCCUUUAUCGCCGUCAACUUUGGGUCUAUUAUGAAAUACUCAAAAUAUUAUGUCACCCUUAUGAAUUAGACAUGCAUCCACCUUUACAUCUUCAUCACUACUACGCUCGUCGUGCCUUUGUGCAUUGACCAUUGACAUUUUGAUCCAUGCAAUGGAGUCAAUCUCACAACAUGUUACAUGAUGUAUGAAGCUAUUAGCCUCUUGGGAAUAGUCAACAUGAGUAUGUUGCUGCCCUAAAUUGAUGCUAGAAGACAUUAUGCUCCAUUCUCAGACUUUUUGGGCAGGGAUCGAUGGAUUAAAUAUACAAGGCAGUGAUGUGUGAAAGUUUGUCAUAAUCUUAUUGACGUAACUUAAUUCACUCAUGAGAGGAGGGAACCUCAUCUUCAAACAAUUAAUUUAUACAUUAUAAAAAAAUAUGGCUAAUGAUUCAAGGAAAUAUGAUUGUCCAUUCCAUGUUACAUUUAAUUGUUCGCUACAUCAUUUAAGAUUAGCGUUACCAUCAAACUUCAUGGCGUAUUUAAUUUUAGACUAGACUUCGUAAGAAGCCCUUUCACCAUUAUGGGACCUUGGACUUAGCUUUCUGUAUCUUGUCAACCACCUUCAUUUGGCUUCCACAAAAUCUUAUUUAGUCCUCUUCUUAUUUUCAAGCAAUAUAGCAUCUUUAUUUUUUUUUGAUGUAAAUAUGUACCACCUUAUCUUUUUGGAUGAAGAUAUAUGCCACCUUAAUUAAUUACCCAUCAAUUCCAUUUCAAACAGAUGUUAAGGCUCAAAUCUAACAUAACUUGCACUUUCCUAAAUAUAUAGUUUUGUCCCUAACAUUUUCUAAAUUAGACUUUGGUUUUGCUCAUAUUAUGUGAGUUCACCAUCUGUAUGUUUGAACAUUAAACUCUAUAGAAAUAAUGCUGAAAAUUAGUUGUUUCGCAAUCCAUUUCUAAAAUUCAAAUCAUAUCAUAUGCUAUGCUUUACUCCACUUCAUCCCCGCCUUAGUUUAUACAAGUAAAUUUCUAUUCUCGAACUCUAAAAUCCAUGAGAUAAUGUUGAAAUAAGUUGUUUCCUGAUCAAAAUCUAAAUUACAAACUCAGAUUAGAAUGUGUCAAUCGUUUCAUGUACAUGCAUUACUACACUCUGUUCCCAUGCUUCAAUUAUACUAUUAAAAUUCUUAUUUGUUUUGGAGUUCUUCUAAACAAAAAGGGUACACAAAAGACAAUUUAACAAAAAAAAUAAUGUAGAUAUCUUAUUCGGAUUAUAUGUAAUGUCUUUAGCACAGCAAUAUCCAUCACAAUUCAACUAUCCUUUCGUGAAUUACAUUUCAGCAUGACCAUGUUCAGAUCUCUGUCCUCUAUUUUCCGUUAGAAUUCGAGCUUAAGAUCCAAUCGGUGGUCCCAUAAGCUGCAGGAGGUGCAUGGUGACUUUGAAAUGGCCAUUGGUAGCCUAGGGAGACAUGCAGAACUUUAACUCUAGGUGCAGAAUACACCCAAAAAACUUGGUGGAUGGUCCUUGGCGGGACCUCCAUUUGUAAAUUAGACCCAUAUCAUUCUUCUUUGCAAUAUUAUUAAAAUGGUCAGCAAAAUUGAGAACCAGGUAUUGGUUAUUCUACAUAUUAUAUUAUGACAACAUAAACUAAUGCUUAACAUGGGAAAAGGAGCAAAAGAAUGCCGAAGCAUGGGCAGGAUUUAUGAGAGCCAAGAAGGGAUUAAGGGGGCAAAAGAAUGUCUCGAGAGCUGCUGGUGGGUUUGAUGAUUGAGCUGAUGCACGCUCUCCUGCUUUUCUGACGUCCCCCCUCCCCUUGGCACGCCUAAUAUUCCCCCUCUCUCUCUCUCUCUCUCUCUCUCUCUUUCUCUGACAUGCAUAUGAGAUUGAGAGAGAUAGAGAGAGAUGAGAGAGAGAGAGAGAGAGUGAGAGAGAGUUCCUUCAUCUCAGAAAAACAAGGCAUACCUAUCUUCCUAUCUUGCAAGGAGCCCGGCCAUCUGCUGCCCAUCCAAGGUUGUUCUUUUUAUUAUACAUUUAUAUAACAAGGGAAGGCCCACAUCAGUCACUUCAUUGGCAAAUUAGCAUAAAAGAGAGGCAAGGCAAAGCAAAGCAAAGCAAAGCACAGAAAAAAGGGAUCUCCAUUCCCCCACUCAUAUCCGUCAUCGAUCGCACCAAAAGCAUUGGCCUCUCCAAAAGAAAGGGCACCACCGUCCACCCCCACCGCACCAUCACCCCCAUUAAAAAGCAUGCAGUCACCACCCACCACAGACUCCACCCUUCUUCCAUCCCUCCUCUCCAAGUUGAAGCCUCCCUUAGCUCAAUUCCGACCCCAAGAUCCUCCUCCUCUCCCUUCUCCUUUUCAACUCCCUCUCACCCUCCUCUUCUCCUCCCUUUUCUCCACCCUCUAACUAUUAUACUCUCUAAUUUCCCCCCCCUUCUCUCUCCCCUUAUCCAUCUCUAUGUGAAGAGCUGGUUAGAUGGAUACGUUGUUUAGAUUGGUGAGCCUCCAGUCAUCAGAUCAGCAAUCCUCCUUCAACUCCAACCGCACGUCGAGUAGCUCGAGAUCCUCGAAAGCCCACCACCACCACCAUUUCCUCCACCACCCCUUCCAAAACCAAGAAGAGGAGCUGUACAAAGAAGAAUGUGGAAACAAUUACCACCUUUACAUGGAUGAAGACUUCUCCUCCUCCUCUUCUUCCAAGCACUUCCACCCUCAACCUUCCACCACCACCACCACCACCACCCCGGCUCCCUCGACCGCCGCCACCACGCCGACCGCUUCCACUGCCCACGCACUCUUCGAGCCGGCCGACUUUUCCUUCCCACCGGACCUUAAUCUCGAUUUCGCCUCUCCGACCUCCUCUUCAUCGGCCGCUGCCGCCGCCGCCCCCGGCGCUGGCGGAGGAGGGUGGGCUGCGCAGCUGCUGUUGGAUUGUGCGCGGGCGGUGGCCGCCCGCGACUCGCAGCGCGUCCAGCAGCUGAUAUGGAUGCUGAAUGAGCUAGCGUCGCCCUACGGCGACACCGAGCAGAAGGUGGCGUCGUACUUUCUGCAGGCGCUCUUCGCCCGGCUGACCUCCGCCGGGGCCCGCACGCUCCGCACCCUCGCCGCCGCCUCCGACCGGACCUGCUCCUUCGACUCCACCCGCCGCACGGCCUUGAGAUUCCAGGAGCUCAGCCCCUGGUCCUCCUUCGGCCACGUCGCCGCCAACGGCGCCAUCCUCGAGUCCUUUCUCGACGCCGCCGCCGGUGGUGGGUCCCAGACGCAGCGGCUCCACAUCCUCGACCUCAGCAACACCUUCUGCACCCAGUGGCCUACUCUCCUGGAGGCGCUCGCCACCCGGUCGUCGGACGACACCCCGCACCUCUCGAUCACCACCGUCGUCUCCUCCGCCUCGCCGUCGGCCGCCGUCCAGAGGGUGAUGAAGGAGAUCGGGCAGAGAAUGGAGAAGUUCGCGCGGCUUAUGGGUGUGCCGUUCAAAUUCAACGUCAUCCACCACGCCGGCGAUCUAUCGGAGCUCGACCUCGAUUGCCUCGACCUCCAGGACGGCGGCGGCGCGGCGCUGGCUGUCAACUGCGUCAACGCCCUCCACGGCGUGUCCCCCGCCGGCCGCCGGCGGGACGCGUUCAUCGCUUCCCUCCGCCGGCUGCAGCCGCGGAUCGUGACGGUGGUGGAGGAGGAGGCGGACCUCGAGGCGGCCGGCAGCGGCGAUGGUGGAGGGGAGGAAGGGGAGGAGGGGUUCUUGAAGGGGUUCAGGGAGAGUUUGAGGUUCUUCUCGGCCUACUUCGACUCGCUCGAGGAGAGCUUUCCGAGGACGAGCAACGAGAGGCUGGCGCUGGAGCGGGCGGCGGGGCGGGCGGUGGUGGACCUGGUGGCGUGCCCGGCGGCUGAGUCGGCGGAGCGGAGGGAGACGGCGGCGGGGUGGUCGCGGCGGAUGCGGGCUGCGGGUUUCGUGCCGGCGGCGUUCAGUGAGGACGUGGCGGACGACGUGAGGGCGCUGCUGAGGAGGUAUAGGGAGGGGUGGUCGAUGCGGGCGGCGGAGGAGGCGGAGGACCCCUGCGGCGCCGCUGCCGGAAUCUUUCUCGCGUGGAAGGACCAGCCUGUGGUAUGGGCGAGCGCGUGGAAGCCAUGAAAGAUGGCGGGAGAGGAGACCGAAAGGGAAAAGCCAAAGCCUAGCCAUUGGCACGUGCGGUGGAGCGGGAGUGUUGUGUUUUAAAAUGGCUCGCACGUGGGAACUGGAAACUAGGGCCGAGGAAGGAGAGCGGGGAAGAGAGAGAAGGACGGAACGCAAUGGAUGCGCGAGAAAGAAAGGAGGAAAGAGAAAAGGAGAGAAUAUUUUUAAUUUUUAUCACAAGAUAUUGUCAUCAUGACGGCUAUUAUUCUCUCCCUUGUUUCUAUAGUUUCUUUUCAUUUUUUAACUUUGCUUGUGUUUUGUAUGUGAGUCUUAUAUGUGAUUUUGGUUGUUUGUAUAAGACUCGCAGAAAGGUUUCGAGAAUUCAGAUUUAAAAAAAAAAAUUCUUUAAAUAACCCCUUACAAAAUUAGCUCUUUCAUGAACUUCAGUCCACACGUAAAAACCAGUUUGUCAGAACAUUAAACGGCUGCUGGCUUUGGGAAGCAAGUUUUCUACUUUAAUCUAAGGUGAUUUGUUGACAUUUUAAAUUUUGUUAUGGGCUUAAAACUUAAAAAAAAAAAUAAAAUCAAGAGAGAAGAGAGGGUUCAUUGGAGUUGGUAGUUUAGUGAUGACAAAUAAUCAUAAGAAUUGAAAAAAUAUUAAUGUCUAGAUUGCCCUUACAUUAUUAUUUCUAAGAAUGAGUAUGUAUAGAGUGUCCAAGAUGAUGUCCUUGCAACCAUAGAGACAUUCUAUUCCAUGCAUGGUUACAACUAUAUAACAAUUGAUCGAUAUUUUGUUCCAAUCCAAUGCUUACAAUGGAUAGGUAUUCUGUUAACGUUAUCCAACAAUCCUUGAAGCGAUGAACGGCCAAAUAAUUAAUAUUCAAAAGUAACGAAGAUUUUAUAUACUAAUUAUUAAAAGUGCUUAGUGGAUUGUGAUAAGAAAACUAGAUUAAACAAUAGGGAUAGGUAUCUGUCGUUGAGAGGGUUAGGUGAUAAGGUGAUAUCAGUAGAAAGAGGGCUAUUUAUAAAAAGAAAGGAAAGAAAAGCCUUUAUAUAGAUCAUAGGUAGAUAUGGAAGGGGUCGUUAUCUCGUGAGGUAAGAGCGGUCGGGGAGCGAAUCUUAGGACGAGUGCUGCUGGAAUCUAGCAAAAGAUGGUGGUGGGGGUGGUGGGGGUGGCCCCAUUUUUUAUCUUUUCCCCUUUUUCUUUCCUCCUGAGAGGAAAGAGUGUGAUGGAUGGGAGCUGAACUUUUGAGGCUUUUGGGCGCUAUGCCCACCACUAAAGCGUGGGGGUUUCAUGAUGUCCAGGGUGGAGCUUUUGGGCCACCAGAGGUGGACAGAGAUAGUGGGAACUCCUUUUGAGAGAGGGCAGGGGACUGGUUUUCUUUUCAUCCUACUGUUCUAUUUAGAUCUCUUUCCAACAUGGUUGUUUGAUGAGACGCCCAAGCUUGUCCCCUCUUGUUCCUUAAACAUGCCCACUAAAUAAUUAUUCAUGUCAUGCAAAUAAAGUGAAAAAGAGCAUGCUAGAUCUACACGCGCAGACAAGAACUGCCUGCAUGAAUUUUGUGCCUCAACUCAAAGCUCUCCGCUUGACCCACAUUAUAAAGGAAGCCAUACCCAGGCCCUGCCGAAAAGAAGCUGUAGGUUUAGCACUGCUCAAGACAAGAAACACUAAAAAAAGAGGAGCUGAAAGAAACAUCUUUUCUUUGUAGCAGUCAUUCUGAGUAAAGGAGAGUCAAAAUGAUGCGGGGCACAGAGAAAGGGAGAUUUCGGUGCUUAGGUCCCCCCGGUGCACUUGUAUAUUUUAGUGUGAGUUCAUCGGAAGCUAGAAUGUCAUUUGUUAACGAGCAUUAUUUACUCGAGGUACGAAUGGCGCCUGAUGAAUUUCCGGAAAGAAGCAAAAUUAACGAGCAUUUAUUAACGAUGACUGUAGUGAAAACGUUAAGCAGCCAGCCCUAGUUUCCCGCUUUGCCCGAUCCGAGUUAUUACUAGAAGGAGUGUUCUUUAUCUCUCGCGAAGCCAGAAGAGUGCCUUCCCUCUAUAUUGUGACAUGAACAUGAAGGUUCUGCACCGAGAUCAGCGGCUGCUUGGCAUACUCGGAGGUUGGUAUGAACCGAAAAGAAGUAAGGUCGGAUGUGGCUGAGGUAAAAAUAAGUUGAAUGUCGCCGAGGCCAACCUGCAGGAAGUCCGCUUGCCGAAAGAUUUUUGAUGGAGAUCCUCCGAUGUUUAAGUCAGAAUAGUAAAUCAACAGUAUAGAAAGGAGAAAAUUUAUGAAGUGGAAUCUCAAAAAAUGAAUUUACUUGAGGAUCCUCGGGCCACCCCUUAUCUUAUUUGGCGUGAUGUGUCUUAACUGUAUGGUAAUAAUUAGUUGCAUGUUAAUAACGUAAUAAUCGUCCCACAUGAGCAGCACGCGGUGGCAAUUACGCUGUUCAUACAUUGGCUGCAGUAUCGCCAUAACUGCUGGUCUUUAUUAGCACAAGUAGAUGACACAUUGGUUUUAUUCGAAGUAGUUCACCUUGGUUAAUACCAAAGUGAAGAAGGUCGGUCUAAGCCAAGGUCAAGAUGUCCAAUAUUUCUCCCAUCAUUUGCCUCCCAUUUCUGAGGCCAAACCGAAUCUUAGUUCAGGUGAUAGACGUUGUAUCAUCAUCUUGAUCGAAGACAAGAUAUCUAGAAUAGAGUUUUAAUGCAUCGAUUGAUCUUCUCAAAGUACCAUCAUAUCAGAACUGUUCUGAGAUGUUAUUAUUUUGGAGUUUUCGUGAGGUGCUAGCUCAAAUCACUCUUUGCACGCUUUCCAACUCAAUGUGGUCCUUAUGGAGUGCGUACUUGGUUUUAGCUGUUGUCUUUUAGUUUGGAAGCUGAUUGGUAUACCACGUCAAUGUAAAUCAUGGUCUUUCGGUUUUCUACUUAGGAUGGUUGGUAUUGCCGCUAGGAAUCAGUUCGACCUAGGAGCUGAGUUAACAAGGUCGUCGGAGAUCUCGACUCACCUCUGUGGUUAUGACCCAAUGGCCGCUUGCCUCAAUCGGUGAUGAUCCUAAUGCCGAGUGCUUCCAAGUCGGCGAUGGAUGGCAGAGGAACUGUUUCGAUUGUCGCUCUGACAUUGGGNNNNNNNNNNNNNNNNNAACUCUCUGAUACCUAAGUCGAGGAGGAGGCCUGAAAGGAGCAGAGAGAUACCGUAAGAGAGUCGAAAGAGAACUUACCUGGAGGGUCUCAAGAAACACAAUAUAUGGGAUAGGAAUGGAGCUUGCUGCCAAGUAGUUUGAAGCUAUAUGCUAGUUCACAUGAACGUAUCUCACCAAUAAAUCAUAUCUGCACUUCUGAAUCAUGGAGAUUUGCUCAAGUAUUAUAUUUUUUAGGAAACAUUAGCGAUCAUGGCCGAGUUGUUGCUAGUUGGGGGGGAGAGUUUGAAAUACAAAGGACUCUCCAUGAGUCUUCUGGGUUGGCCACGUCGCAAGUUUUGAAUAGUCAGCCUACAUCUAGGUGGCAAUCUUUUAUUGGUCGAUUUGCCUUGUCAACUAAGAUUGAUUCAGAGAUAUGUCAUUUGUCCCCUACUUCCAAGGCCGAUGUAACUUGAUCGGCUCAGGUGAAGGAAGCAGUUUUCCUCGAAUAAAAUUGACCAGCCGAGGCGAGCUACGAAGCCGAUUAGCUGAGCUAUCUUGUUAGCUUUGAAAACCUUCUAGAGAUGGCGUUAAUGAUUGCGUGCUAGCAUCUAUUCUUCCCGAAGUGGUAUUAUUAGUGGCAAGAUUUUUGGGGGUAAUGAUUGGAUGCUUUGCUAGUAACAAUCCUAGAACAGUUUAGAAUCGAACAUUUGGUCAACACGUGAUAGAGAUUAGACCAGCUACUUGAAUGGCUACAUCGAUUCAGACCACCAGAGGCUCUAUAUAAUGCCUAUGGCCUGUGCUUCAUCUUCACUUCAAAGUUUCUGCACCCAAUCUCGUGAGAGUGGUCAAGGGUGAACCAGUGCUCCACCCCCGAAAUUCUUUUUUUCUCCAUUCUCGGCGAAGGUUCUUCUUCAUCAUCGUCGUUGUUGUUUGUUCUCCUAUUUUUCUGUCGAUGCUUCUUCACUGUAAACUUCUAUUAGGCCUUCUUGGUUUCUUGUUUCGAUUCCUGCUUCUUGUUGUUCUCUUUCAUCUUUUUUUCUUUCCUUUUGUCUGGGAGAAGUAACAAGGCAUAUAACCAAUGGGUGAUCCUUGGUUUGUUGUUUCGAUUCCUUUUCCUAUUUUUCUCAUUUUUUGUCGGGGUGUUGUUCUCGAUGAUCUAGGCCAAUGGAUCGGCCUUGACCUACUUAGUGAAAUAGUCAAUGGCCACUAUGAGAAACUUUCUCUGCCCGAUUGCUGGUAGGAAAGGCUUGAGAAUGUCUAUCACCCAUUAUAUGAAAGGCUAGGGGCGCUGAUCGGCAUGAGUGGUGCCGCCAGCUACUGUUGGAUGUUUGCAUGUCGUGUCACUAAUCAUACCUCUUCAUGAAGUUAGCAGCAUCCUUUUGAAUGGUUAACAAGUAGUAAUCUUACUGCAUAACCUUGUACGAUAAGGCUCUACCCCCUAGAUGGUUGCCAUAGAUUUCCUCGUGAACCUGCCAAAGGGCAUAGUCCAUCUCAAAAGGUCGAAGGCAUCUGAGGAGAGAUACGGUGAAUAACCUUUUAUACAAUAUCCCUUGUAAGAGGAUGUAGCGAGCUACCUGAGAUUUGAGUCCCCGAGCUUCUCUUCGAUCCGAAAGUUUUCCAUCUUAGAGGUAAUCAACCAGGGGGUCGAUCUAGCUUGGUUCAAGAUCGGCUUGUAGGACCGAGCUAGAGCCUUCCUCUAUGUCGGGCAUCUCAAGGACCUCCAGGUUGGUCGAUUUUCCCAAAUUUAUGCAUUCCAAUGUGGCGAGCAUGGAUAUUAAAACAACUUGGUCAUUCUAAGAUCUCGGGAUUUGCUGUACCUCAAUUUUGUCGAAGGAUGAGAAAAUAUACCGGACCUUUCAGAGGUACUUGGCCAUCAUGGGUUUUCUUGUCUCGAAGUCUUGUUGGAUGUGCCCAAUGACCAACUGGAAGUCGCUGAAGACCUUUAAGUGUCGAACAUCGAGUUCUCUCGCAAGCUUGAGGCCAGUAAGGAGGGCCUCAUACUCAGCUUCAUUAUUGAAAACUCUGAAGUUGAACUGCAGUGCGUACUCCGCCACAACUCCAUCAAGGCUGGUGAGGAUUAGCCUAGCUUCGCUCUCAUUUGAGUUGGAAGAUCUGUCGACAUGUAAUAUCCAGACAUCUUCUAGCUCGAGUUGUUCUUGAGGUUCUUCCAUACUUGCUUCCUUAGGGAUGGUGCAUUUUAUGAGGAAAUCCACCAACACUUGGCCAUUGGUAGCUGGUCGGGGACAAAAAUGGAUGUCAAAAUUUUCGAGCUCAAUCACCCGCUUGGUCAACCUUGCUAACAUAUCCUGCUUUUGCAUAACUUGUCGCCAUGGGCUGGUCAGUCGGCACUGUGAUGGAGUGUGCCAAAAAAUAUGAUUAGAGUCUUUCGACCAAGAUGAUAAGAGCAUAAGCCAUCUUAUCAAGUUUGGAAUAUCAUGUCUUUGCAUUGAGGAGGACUCGACUUUUGUAAUAUAUGGGUUUUUGCACUCCUUCUUCCUCCCAGGCUUAGCUUAGUGAGGAGGGGUUGUGAGCUGAGGUACUACUUGAGUUGGUCAAAGGAAUCUCGGCACUCCUUGGACCAUUAGAAAUUUUUGAUCUACCUUAGUGCUUUAAAGAAAAGCAAGCAUUUCUCAGCCGAUCUUGUAAUGAAGCUGCCUAGUGUCGCAAUCCUUCUUCAUCCUUGGAGGUAUCAUUUCCACCACUGCAUAAAUCUUUUCUGGAUGGGUUUCAAUCCCAUGAUGAGUAACCAAGAACCUGAGGUGCUUUUCCAUAGUGACUCCAAAAGCGCACUUGCUCAAAUUGAGCUUCAUACAGUACUUUCACAGGGCAGCAAAUACCUCCUAUAGGUCGGCCACGUGUUGUUCAAUCUCCUUACUUUUUACUAGCAUAUCGUCAAUAUAGACCUCUAUGUUGUGACAAAUCUAGUGCUUGAAGAUCUUGUUGACCAAGCGUUACUACAUGGCUCUGACAUUUUUAGUCUGAAUGGCAUGAUUUUGGAGCAAUAGAGUUCUUUAUCAGUGAUGAAGAUAUUUUUUUCUUCAUCCUUAGGUGCUAUCUAUAUUUGAUUGUAGCCCGAGAAUACGUCCAUGAAGCUUAGCAUCCAAUGCCCCGAUGUUGCAUCCAUGAGAUGGUUGAUCCUAAUAAUGGAAAACUAUCUUUAGGAUAGACCUUGUUAAGGUCUGUAAAGUCAACACACACCUGUCACUUUCUAUUAGCUUUCUUCAUAAGGACGACAUGCACUAUCUACUAGGGUAGGUGACUUCUCGGAUGAAGCCGAGAGCUUGUCCACCUCCUCAUCAGUGGCUGUUUCCUCUAUAGGGUGAAUCCCCUCUACUUCUGUUUUUGCUCAUCCCAAGCAUCAAAGCCUUUAAUGUGAUGCGCUCCAUAGGCUUCUUCCCUCAUAAAGUGGCCACACAACACUAUCGAGCUAGUGUUUGGUCACCUCGAACUUCUUCCGUAUCGUGUCUGAUUGAGAACCUCAUGAGAAGAUGGUAGGUGGACACUGUAGCACGAAGGGUGUUCAAUCUGGGUCGAUCCAAAAUGGUGUUAUAUGCCAAGGAUAUUUUCACGACCAAAAAAUCAAGCAUCAUGGUUGUUUGCCUCGGAGCCCAACUAAGGAUGACCAGGAGGGAGAUAACUCUUUCUACAGAGAUUGGGUCUCCUAAAAAUCCAAUCAAAGGUGAGUUUAUCGUCUUCAAUUGGUCAGUAGGCAUAUUCAUCUUGCAUAAAACCUCAUAAAACAAUACAUCCGUCGAGCUUACAUUUCUACUAAAAUACGUUUUAUAUCAUAAUUACCGACGAUUAAGAAAACUACAAUAGUGUCAUCAUGUGCAGUUUGGACGCCCUCGAUGUCGAUACGAGAAGGAUAUCACCUUGCCCGUCCUCUACAUUUUCAGAUCUAAACUUUUUGCUUGAGUAGAGUGUAGUUCCUUUGCAUGGACAAGAUCAUUCAACCAGCUAUUGGACCACACGAGAUAGUGUUGAUGAUGUCUGUCAUUGGUUAAUUGUUAAUCUCCUGCUCAGGCACAGGCAACUCCUGACUAGUAUUGUUCCGAUCUUGUGGGUGGUCAACAAAGGGACCGAGGUAUCCUCGCUAGAUGAGGGCCUUGAUCUCAUUCUUGAGCUACUGGCAAUCUUUGGUAUUCUAGCUGAAGUUUUGAUGGAACUUGCAGAAUUUAUCUUUAUCCUUCUUGGCGGCUUUCUUCAUCUUUUGAGGCGAUUUACAUAGCCUCGAUCCUUUAUCUUCACUAAGAUCUAUAUUCGAGGAGUAUUAAGAGGCGUGUACCUCUCGAACUGUUGAGUUGGACUCCUCAGACAUGAAGACUUUGGUGGUCCAUCGUUUGCUUCCUCCUAGGCUCGUCCUUGUCCUUUUGAGUCCGUUUACUCUUUUUUUUCCUAGGCUUGUUCCUGGCUGACUCUUGCAGAGAUAUCAUAGCUUUUUCUACAUCUGUAUAUUUCUCAACUUGGCAGGGAGUUCCAAAUGGCUUCUGGGGAACCUCUUCUCAAGAAAAAAGAGAAACUGAGAAGUCUUCAGCCAGUGUUUCAAUGCAAAGACCACGACCGAGUGGUUCAAGUCAUGCACUUCUAGAGCCGCUGCGUUGAAACAGUUAACAUAGUCCUAGAGGGACUUUCCAUCCUGUUGCGCAAUAGGAAUAGACACUCUAAAUCUUUCCUCUGCCAGUGGACGCUGAUAAAGUGUACCAUAAGUAAUCGGUUUAAUUGCUCGAAGGAGUGAAUCAAGUUUGGUUGCAGCCCAAUGUACCACAGUCAAGCUGUCUUUUGGAGAGUAGCUAAGAAAGCUCAGAAGAGAACUACGUUGGUGGCCUCUUGGAGCAUCAUGAGGGCUCUAAAAGUCUCUAAAUGGUCUAAGAGAUCAGUAGUCCCAUCAUAGAUCUCCAGUGAGAGCAUCUUGAAACAAGGAGAAAAGGGUUCAUCCAUAAUCAUCGCCCAUAACGGAGAGUUUGUUGUCGACAUCAUCCUCGAGCUCAACAUUGUGAGCUCUCAAAGCCUCAAGGCGUCGAUCCAUUUUCUCGUAUGGUCGAGAUCGACCUUCCUCCUGAAAAUUCUCUCUAGUUAGUGAUGGGACGAAUAUCAUGGCAUUGAUCCCUCCCGGGACUGUGAGCUUAGGGAUCGGGGCCUUCUCUCUUGUACUGUGCUCCGUGGGCGAGUAAUGACUAUAUCGAGCCCAUCCUUAACUCCAAGGAUGGGAAUGAUGACUCAACUGUACCAGGCCCCUGGUCUCCUGGUGCGUGAGUCUGUCGCAACAGCUAUUGCACAUGCAAUUGCUACUAUUGGUGGUGGUUAGAAGCACUUUACUGUAGGUUUUGGACAGUGGUGGUCAAUGUCUGAACAUAAGCAAACAGAACUGCUUAACGGUGAUUGAUGGGCUUGGCUAUGGCUCCUGUGGGUCUGGCUGUGGCUCCUGUGGAGAAGGAACCCUUCGAGGGCUCUGCAAAGAGCCAUCAGACUCCAACAAUGCAUCUUGUUGGGCAGGUGUGGCCGCCACUUGCAUUCUCCAUGACUUCAUGGUUGUAUGUCACCGGCUUGAUUGAUUAGACCUCUAAAGAUGAGAUCAGAAACCUUCCUUUAGUGCCAAUCUAUUACCGUUGGGAACUGGCCCAAUGUAGAUGUCGAGUUAAUGGGUUGUUGGAGAUCUCAGUUCAUCCACCAUUUGGAUUGAAAAGAUUUGAUGGGGUGGCAUACCUCCGCAGCGAUGAUUCGAUGGUUGUUGCACUCUAUUGGUGAUAAUCCUGAUGUAGAGCUCUUCCAAAUCAGCAUUGGAUGGCGGAGGCACUGCUUCGACCAUCGCUCUGACGCUGGCUUUGAUUUGAAAUAAUAAGAAAAAAGAAGUCUAUCUGUCGAAGCAUGUCCAGUGGAGGGACCCUUUGAUGCCUAAAUAAAAUACGGCUCUCAAAAAACAAGAGAAGAGUUGAAAGGGGUAGAGAUGCAGCAUAAGAAAGUUGCAAAAGAACUUACAAGGAGGAUCCCCGAGAAUGCAAUAUAUAGGUAAGGGCCUAAUCCCACUACCGAGUUGUUUAGGGUUAUACACAUGUUGAUAUGUUAAUAAGCCACAUAUCCCACUCAUAAAUCAUGCACGUGCUUCUCGGACACGUGUAAUUUGCUUGAUAACUAAUUAUCACACCUUUCAAUCAUUCUAUUUACAUAAUAAAAUAUAAAUCGUUAAAUGUGCUAUACAAGGUCUAAAAUGCCUAUGUAACAAAUAUCACACCUUUAGAUAACACCUUCCAACCAUUCAAUUUACACAAUAAAAUAUAAACUAUUAAAUAUUUUCAAGGUCUAAAAUGCCCAUGCAUAAGAAAAUAAUAUUUUUGAAAACUUUUUUGGCCAUGCACUAAUCUCUCUCAACUAUAUAAUCCUAAUAAUACAAUACAAUUUGGUUACUUUGGGACUAGAUAUAUCCAAGCAGCCUUCAAAACAUAUGAUUUUUUAUACCAAAACAUUAUAAGCCUUUUACAUCAUAAAUGAUAAUUUGAAUUUUCAAUUUGCAACUCAGAUCAUUAAAUUUUAUUACGAGUGUAAACUACUCUCUUGACAUCCCAUUUGUAUUAUAAUCGUAUUCUCAUGUCCAAGUUGUAUCAUAUGCUAUAUUCUUAGGAUUUUCUUCAUUAGUGUGACUAUACAUUCAUUAGAUGUGCAUGCAAGAGUUGUUGCCCAUCAAAAUGCGAAAGAAUUUAUUGUAUUGCUUUGUGCCAAGAAAAAAUGCUUGUCAAAUGGCACAAAUAAGACCUCAAGAGUUGUUCCCUAACCAUAAAUAAGUAGUUGGUGUAGAUGAGCAACUUUUGUGUUUUGUGGGGACUAUCAAUGAUAUAUUGCAGGACAUCGAUUGUUCAAGCUUUACAUGACAACCUAUGGUUAGUCACAUAAUCGGCUUAAAAAUUUGUAAGAUCUCCAAAUGAGCCCAAAUGGCACAUUCCUAUCUUCGUACUGCAAUCCAUGUGCAUGUUCCUCUCACGCAUUACUUUUUGCAUUCGUAUCACUUUGUGCGUUAUUGCCCAUGAACUGUGCUUGAAGUAUGGGGAACGUACUACUAACAUUUUUAUAAGCAUUUUGGUACAAAUGAACCAUCCUUUAUUGCUGCAAAAGGGUGGAUUGACCUCCUGACCUGAGGCCCCACAAUACUCCUCCAACACCCUCCUCAAUGCCAGGGCUGAUCUCCUCAUCAUCCGGGCUAACAACAAGCAAUCAUCCACGAACAAUAGAUGAGAGAUCGGAGACGCUCUCGGUGCAGACUUAUAUGCUGCUACCUCCUAUCUCUCCGUGACUAACCGGAGUGCCCUAGAUAGACAAUCCGCACCCAAAAUGAAAAGUAACGGUGAUAGUGGGCAUCCCUGUCUCAAGCCCACCGAUGACACAAAAAACCGAGAUGGGGAGCCGUUCACCAAUAAUGCAAAAGAUGGGGCGAGGAUACAAUUCUGAAUCCACCUAAUCCAAAGGGGGUUGAAACCAAACCCUCUAACGACUGAGCCAAAAAUUCCAUNNNNNNNNNNNNNNNNNNNNNNNNNNNNNNNNNNNNNNNNNNNNNNNNNNNNNNNNNNNNNNNNNNNNNNNNNNNNNNNNNNNNNNNNNNNNNNNNNNNNNNNNNNNNNNNNNNNNNNNNNNNNNNNNNNNNNNNNNNNNNNNNNNNNNNNNNNNNNNNNNNNNNNNNNNNNNNNNNNNNNNNNNNNNNNNNNNNNNNNNNNNNNNNNNNNNNNNNNNNNNNNNNNNNNNNNNNNNNNNNNNNNNNNNNNNNNNNNNNNNNNNNNNNNNNNNNNNNNNNNNNNNNNNNNNNNNNNNNNNNNNNNNNNNNNNNNNNNNNNNNNNNNNNNNNNNNNNNNNNNNNNNNNNNNNNNNNNNNNNNNNNNNNNNNNNNNNNNNNNNNNNNNNNNNNNNNNNNNNNNNNNNNNNNNNNNNNNNNNNNNNNNNNNNNNNNNNNNNNNNNNNNNNNNNNNNNNNNNNNNNNNNNNNNNNNNNNNNNNNNNNNNNNNNNNNNNNNNNNNNNNNNNNNNNNNNNNNNNNNNNNNNNNNNNNNNNNNNNNNNNNNNNNNNNNNNNNNNNNNNNNNNNNNNNNNNNNNNNNNNNNNNNNNNNNNNNNNNNNNNNNNNNNNNNNNNNNNNNNNNNNNNNNNNNNNNNNNNNNNNNNNNNNNNNNNNNNNNNNNNNNNNNNNNNNNNNNNNNNNNNNNNNNNNNNNNNNNNNNNNNNNNNNNNNNNNNNNNNNNNNNNNNNNNNNNNNNNNNNNNNNNNNNNNNNNNNNNNNNNNNNNNNNNNNNNNNNNNNNNNNNNNNNNNNNNNNNNNNNNNNNNNNNNNNNNNNNNNNNNNNNNNNNNNNNNNNNNNNNNNNNNNNNNNNNNNNNNNNNNNNNNNNNNNNNNNNNNNNNNNNNNNNNNNNNNNNNNNNNNNNNNNNNNNNNNNNNNNNNNNNNNNNNNNNNNNNNNNNNNNNNNNNNNNNNNNNNNNNNNNNNNNNNNNNNNNNNNNNNNNNNNNNNNNNNNNNNNNNNNNNNNNNNNNNNNNNNNNNNNNNNNNNNNNNNNNNNNNNNNNNNNNNNNNNNNNNNNNNNNNNNNNNNNNNNNNNNNNNNNNNNNNNNNNNNNNNNNNNNNNNNNNNNNNNNNNNNNNNNNNNNNNNNNNNNNNNNNNNNNNNNNNNNNNNNNNNNNNNNNNNNNNNNNNNNNNNNNNNNNNNNNNNNNNNNNNNNNNNNNNNNNNNNNNNNNNNNNNNNNNNNNNNNNNNNNNNNNNNNNNNNNNNNNNNNNNNNNNNNNNNNNNNNNNNNNNNNNNNNNNNNNNNNNNNNNNNNNNNNNNNNNNNNNNNNNNNNNNNNNNNNNNNNNNNNNNNNNNNNNNNNNNNNNNNNNNNNNNNNNNNNNUUUACUGGUCCAUGAGUCACUUGGCACUUCUAUCAUCAUAUGUCCCAGAGCAUGACAUCAAGUACAUAAAAUGCUACCACAGGAGCUAAAAGGAGAAUAGUUAAAUUGUUGCAUGGGUUCAGCCGUUCAGGCGAAGAAAACAAGGCAGAUGCUCUGGAUUUGAGACAACCUAUCCAUUGCUGUUAAUUAUUUUAAGAAAAAGCUAUGUUGCUGCCAGAGUGGACAGGUCAUGUACAUGAACCUGACCCAUGAAAGCCCUGGCAUCCCCUCCACCCGGGAUGGUAGUAUUAUUAAUACUAGCAUACGGACCAGUGUAUCGCAUCUAAAGUAAAAUAAAAUUAUUCUAAUAUUAUUUUUAAUAUAAAUUUAUAUUAUGUAUCCUAUCUUUUAGUAAAAAUUUAACUUGAUCAACACAUAAAUUUAUAUUAAAAAAAAGAAGAAUAAAAAAAUAAAUAAACAUCAGUAUAUCGAAAAUAAAGAUUGUCAUGCCGCAUAUCUGUAUGGAGGAUCGUAUAAGCAUACAUGGCUACAGAUCGUAUCAUAAUCAUAAAGCAAUAAUAAUUGUUUGAUUCUUGAAAAUUAAUUUCACAAAUCAUUUUUAUAAUCAAUUGUUUCAAAGUAACAUAAGCCAAAAUAUAUUAGCUAAUUAUUAUUUAUUUAAAUCAAAUAAAAUGAUUUAACUAAACUAGUCUAAAUAGUCUAAACUAAAAUUUCAAUAAUUAUGAAUAUCUUUGGAAGAUCUAGCGUACCCUCCAUGUUCCGAGCAGUUAUAAUUCAAGAUCUGAAAAAUAGAAAAAAAACAAUAAUGAGCUACACUAGUCCAAUAAACAGCAUAACAUCAAAGUGGGGUCUAAGUACACUAAAUAAAUAAAGAGCAUAAUACUGAUUGGGAAUAUACCAAUUUUUGAAUAAUAUAUAUCAGAGUAAAUUAUAACAAUCUUCCUCAAAUUAGGAGUAAAUUACAGUUACACCUAAUAGUAUGAAAAACCUAUAUUUACCUCUUUGAGGUUUAUUUUUAUUCGAUACUUUAACCUAUAACUUAACAUAAUACUAGUCAACUUGUUAACUUUUAAUGGGACCCAAAUGCCACAUUAGAAAAAAAAUUGAAAAUGAUCAAAAUAACCUUACAAAACCUUUUAAUGUUUAUAUUUAUUACACUUACACCCAAUAUUUUGUAAAAAACUACACUUGCGCCCAUUUAAAUUGACAACAUUAGUAAAACCAUUUAUCUAUUGUAAAAAGUUAAAAUUAUCUCUAAAAGAAAAAAAAGGCUCCUCUUUCAUUUUUCUGACUAUCAGAGCUCUUCAAAGUAUUACAUUUUUAAGAGUUUUUUCUCUUCGAGAUUAAGCGACUAGGGAUUCUUUUCCACUUCGCCAUCCUACUACGAGCGCCCCUUCCCGUCGAGCAACCAAUUAUAAACAUUCUUUCCAACCGACAUCCGAUGACGAGCAUCCUUUCCGACCAGCCUCCCUCUUUUUGAUAAGAUUUUGUUCUUGCUUCUUCGCCCACCACAUCAUAAAGAUCGGGGAUGCAAGUAUAUUAUUUGCUAAUUUUGAAAUUAAUUUGUCCAAUACUGUAGAUAUGAUUCCUUAACAUUGUCGCUGUGAGUAAGGAUUCUUAUAUUUAUAUACGAGCUAUAAUAGCUCUAGCAGCCUAUCAUUGAAAGGAUCCAAAUCAGUACGUACGUGAGAACUCUUCUUUUUGGAGGUUGUAUUAGUUGCAGUACCAUAGCUUGCCUUGGACUAUGAACAGGCUAGCGAAGCAAUAAAACUCUUGAUGUUAGUUUCCUACAUCAGAAAAUUUUAGAGGCAUCCACUUGCUUAAGAGAUCUAGAUUGCUUUUCUCUUGGCAUAUUGCUCUUUUCUAAUAAUUCAUCAAGAUCAUACUAAGACCCAUGGCACCACACGACUAUUCUCCUCCUUGGGUGGAUGUUAUAUCACUUAAGACUACUUUGUUCAUUUUUUAAUUUUUUUGACAUAGCAUUUAGGUCCCAUUUAAAUUAAUAGUUUAGCUAAUAUUGUAUUAAAUUAUGGGUUAAAGUGUUAGAUAAAAAAAAACCUCAAAGGAAUCAGCAUAGAUAUUUUAAACUAUUAAAUGUAAAUAUAAUUUAUCCCUAAUCUUAAGGGCAUUUUGUAAUUUACUUAUUAGAGAUAAUUUUGGUUUUUUAUAUGAGGUAAAUGGAUUCACCAAUGCCAUUAAUUUAACUAGUGUAAGUAUAGGUUUUACAAACUAGUGGGUAUAAGUGUAAUAAACGUAAACCUCAAGGAAGUUUUAAUUUACUACUCUAUAUAUUAUUAUUUUCAUAAUCGAUACUAGAGACCCAGCAUCAGGCUAUAGCCACGUAAUCCGGUGGCGUGGGUCAGAUACAUAAUAAACCAAGUGUCAGAUACCACUAUUCUAAUCACCGGUGGCUUAGUGUCGAAACUAGUUUCUCAUAUUAUAAGUCGAUAUGGCCAACAAAUAAUUUCUAUUGGCGGGGCCAGAUCAUAGUCGUACUGAGAAUACAUACAUAUGAAACAACUUUCAUAAUUUAUGCAGACAUAUUUUUCAAAUUUCAUAAUAUAACACAUAACAUAUUUAAAAAUAAUUUACUAUUGUAACAAUAAUAUGUCUGACCUAUUUGACCAAGUAUAAAAUAUAUAUCACGAUUAUAUUUAAUAAAAUAAUUAUCAAUUUACCAAAAUUUGGAGAACACACUUUAAAGCAUUAAGUUACUUAUUUCUUCUUACUUUAAAAUUUUACUUCAGAUAGAUGGGUCAGAUUCAUCUAUUUAAUAUCAUUAAAAUAUAAUUAAUUUCAUCAUUGUCUUAGAAGCCAAGCGAAGUCAUUGCCGACUUCAAUCAGAAAUGGGCCCAAUUGGGCGAAGUCUCGAAGAGAUCAAUGGCGAUAAACUUGUUAAAGAGGGAUUUGAAUAGAGUUAAGGUAACGUUGUUAAAAAUAAUAUUUUACGUAUGGAAAAAAUUGACAAAUUUAAAGUAUCUCCAAUGUUGUUUUUUUAUAAAAAUUAUAGCAUAGCAAAUCGAGUUAGGAUGAUGACUUCUCGUCAAGCUGGACUUAGUGGGCCGGGAGUGGGAUGGGGUGGGGCCGCCCGCGGGCCAAAUUCUCGUCUCGCCGCUGUCUCCAAGGACGAGGGCCCACCCACGUGCAGGGAGACGAGAGCGUCAUGGUAGCGAGCGCGGGACGAAUGGCCUCUUGUUUCGUGCGGGGCCCACGCAGCAAGCGGCCCCGCGAGACACCAAUACGGAAAUGGCUUGGGACCUUAAAAAUAAUGACCCGCACGUGACACCAAACCCCCAGCUAGCGUGAAGAGAUAGAUACCCGUCCAGCCACCGCUUUACCAACAAUCUCCUUGGAGGUUACUCUGUCGGGGUACGAAAAAGUACCGUUAGCAAGUCACUGGAUCCUAAGUUUUUUUUUCUUAUUUCAACACCACAGCUUACACUUAUCAAACAUAGGUACAAUCACACGUGGGAGUGUGGUAGUUCUGAGUUCGAAACGCACGGACGUCGAUUAAAUUAUGAAGGCCGGAUGCUUCCUGCUCGGACACGAGAUCUAGAAGGACAUAUCGCUCUGUUGGUAGCCUCGAUGAUGCUAGGUAUGACAUACUCACACGUGGUAUUCAUGCUGCAGCCCAGAGGGGUAACCGAGCCGGACCCACGGAUGAAGAGCAUAUGAAUAAAACCGGCCGGGGUGCCCAACACACAGUCAUUUCUGCCCUGUGGGGUGGAGGCCCAGUGGGGGCUGCUACGUGGGGGUGGGCUUGUCCCUUCCUCCCCCCUUCCUCUUUUCAUUAGCAAAAAAAAAAACAUAGGUACAAUCGGCAAAAUUAAAAAAUAAUAAUAAUAUAAAAAAUGAGACACCAGCAUGUGGUCAACCCAAAUGAAACUUCCAGCAUAUUAAACUGCAAAUGAGGCCAUCUAAUCAGCUGUGCUCUUCGCCUCUCUAUAGACAUGUGUGGCCUAUGAGAGCAGGGUCUAGAACCCGUGUUGGGUCCCACUGGAUCCAAGUUGGUGACGAGGAAUGUGUGCGGUGGUGGAGAGAACCUGCUUAUAGAUCAUAGCAAUUCAUGAUCGAGGGGACGACCUAUAAUUGUAGGAGCCACGUGAAACGCGAAGCUUUUGAGGGCUUGUUAUCAUGUAUUAGCCAUUUGGCAUGGUGUAUUUUAGGAUUUGCGCUUGGCGAAUAGGCACUUGGCAUGAUGCCAAAAGCAGCCUUAUUUUUCAUCAUUGUGUGAAUCUCAAAGUUUAUACACAAAAGAAACACAGUUCCAUCGCCAAGCGGAUCCAACGGCAAUCUCUACUACUGUGAUACCAAAGGCGUCGAACAGCUGAAGUUACUUUAUGUGGCUAAUCACACUAAAUCUUUUUUUUCAUCAUCUUUGUUGGAUAUUCUUGUUAAAUUUUUCGAUAUUUUAUUUAUGUAUUUACUAAAUCUGAUUUACUAAAAAAAGAAAAAAACCCUCCAACUGCUCACUUCUGAGUCUCAUAUAAUGAUAAAAUAGGUUAUGAGUCAUCACCUACAAUGACAUAUGAGAAUGUUUGGUUACAAAAAAAUAGACAAAAAUAGAAGAACAUGAAAAUAAAAAUCCCAAGAAACCAAUUAUUAUUUUUUUUCAAAUUUAUUAAUUUUUGAAAUAAAUAAAUAGAAAAUUGGAUUUUUUACGGAAAACAUUUUUGUUUUUAAAUCAAUACUCCGUGAAGCCAAAAGUGUCAUUGGUACUUUAACCCAUUUCAUAUACAUCUUAGUUUCUUUUCAAGGAAAAGUUCUUAAUCAUGCAGCCAACCAUGCUUCAUCCAUGCUUUUUCUUCUAAACAUUUAUGUGCUUAAUGUUAAGGUUUGCCUUGUCGAUAUGCAUGGACUCCUUGUUUUGAACUAAUUAAUAUAUCAUGUAGUGAUAUUUGAAUCAUACUUAAAUAUUUAGAUGAUCACAUAUUUGUGACAAUGAAGAUUUUAAAAAUGGACAUGCAGAUGUAUAUGCUACAAGAUGUCUGUCACCCCAACACUACUAAAGACAUUUUCAAUGCAACUUUAGUUAAUUCCACCAGCUAGAAUUUAACAUAUAUUUUCACACACACAUAUAUAAAAAAAACAGAACUAGGAAAUGUUAGAUCAUGAUUAUAGUGAUUAAAUAUAAUGUGUUGGUGGGCGUUCAAAGCUAUGUUGUUCGUGCAAGAUUCUAGGUAAAAAGAUUGUUAUAAUCUGCUGAAAGAAUCAAAUUCAAUUUGAAUGGGAUUCAGAAAGAAAAAGAACUAAAGAUGAUCCUUUAAACAAGAAAACACUCCUCAAGGAAGAAAAGAAGAAUACCUUUUAUCAAUAGGAAUCCUCUUGUUUCUUGCAUCCCACAAAUGCCCAGAAUAAGGAAAGCACUACAAGCGCUUCCCCUUCCUCCUACUUGCACCAGGAUGCCAAGUAAUAUCUAUUUUCUGAGAGGAAGGAUGCCAAAUGAUAUCGUUUCAAAAAAGAAGUUCAAAAAUAAAAUCUGAUGGAUGAAGGAGAAAAUUAUACCUGGAUUAAUCAAAACAUCUCUAUUUUUUUCCAAAAAAAAGAUACAAGGCUAUGACCAACUUCGCUAAGUGUUUGGGUUGCAUCUUUUACGCGAAAUAAUGAUUUGCCUUCUUUCGCGAAGACGAUCAUUUCGAAAUCCAUGCAAAUAGAUGGAAGAAUGAGGUUAAAGUGCUUUGACAUCUGUAUGUUAAUAUGCGAUCCAACAGUCUACAUUGUAGAAAAAGAUCAAUCAUUCUUUCGCAUGAAAGAUACAACCCGAACCCAUUCGCUAAAAUCCAACGGGCUGGGUCAGGCCUAAGCCCGAGUCCAACCUGAUGUGGAAAGCUCUUCCUGCCAUUGUAAUGGUAGAGGUAUAUUGGUUUAGUUACUUUUCCCCGAAGUAACUUAGUACUGAUCUUUUUGAUUAAAUUUUAAAGAGAAAUAUAUUCAUCAUGCACUCUAAUGCAAUAGUCUUUUUUUUUUUGUGCUAACUAAUAAUGAGAAAAGUCCCCUUCUUUCAUGGAACUACGGCAUCCUAGUGUGGCAGGAGGUUCCUCUCACCUUAGGUGUCAAUGGUUAAAGUAUUGAACAACCCAAAGCGAUAGCGGACCCAAGGUGGUUUUCCCACCCCAUCAACAAUCUCCAAGAGGGACUCACUCCCCAUCUUUAUUUUACUCCAGCAAUGAGUCUAUGGUUUAUUUCCAUCCGCGAGUUGAUCUCAAGCUAUAGCAUGCAAUCUGAACCCAAAUACUUACCAAGGAAAGACCUACAUGCGAUUCACAUCACCUUUUAUCUCUGCUCUAUGUAAAGAUCUGAUGCCGCACCAAACACGGGGAAAGCGGCUGCGGUGAAGGGUCCAACUCGGGAUGACUGCUGUGGCUUUAAAAUAGGAAACAGAGGAAGAGGGAGGAAGAACAGGAGGAGAAGAAGAGAGGAAGAGUGACAGAGAGGAGGAGAAGAGAGAGAAGAAAAGGGCAGGAAGAGAGAGACGGGAAGGGAGGAAGAGAGGUGGGGGAGAAAACCUUUAAUCCUUCGUUAAAAUCCUAAUCAUUAAAAUAGUCCUNNNNNNNNNNNNNNNNNNNNNNNNNNNNNNNNNNNNNNNNNNNNNNNNNNNNNNNNNNNNNNNNNNNNNNNNNNNNNNNNNNNNNNNNNNNNNNNNNNNNNNNNNNNNNNNGAUGGUGGACUAGGCGGGUAAAUAAUCAGCUCCGAUGUCUCCAUCAAGAUCUUUUUGGUACUCAGUGAAUUUCUCCCUUGUUACUCACCCUUUCAUGAGGAAGCCAACUGGCUGAUUUUAUGGCUGGUUCUUGCAGCUCUUCCAAUAAAUUUGAGUCUUAUUCAAUUUUUUCUGCCAAAUUUUGUGCAAGCGUUGAAGCAGAUAGUUUAGGUUGUUCAAACAAAGAAAAGGAGGAAGGAAGGAAGAAGGUUAAGCUUUCUCUUUAAUUUUUAAAAAUAACUUUUUUAAAAAAAAAUUUUGAAAACUUGGAUAACAAAGAAUGUCACCAAGAUCUAGACAAGGAUAUGAUCAACUCUAGAGCAUUGACAUUCAGAAUUAGUGAUUUUACUGAGGCAACCAUUUUGGCGUUCUCAAACAAAUAGAGGAAAAGACCUAUUUUUUUAUAAAACUUAAUUUUUAAUUUUUAUUAUAAAAACAUAGAAGGAACGAUAUUAAAGUUUAACAUUGUCUGUCUGAACCCUUGGUCGUAUAAUGCCAGUUCGAGACCCCUCCUAGGGUCUAUCCGGUAACUUGCUGAGGAAUUACAAUGGAAAAUCAAGGAGAACUCGACACUAUUUGCCGGCGGUUGAUCGGGGUUUGAGGAAGAGAUCGUUAGAAGGAAGUGGGAAAGCUUGUAUAGAUGAAUUUCCUAGGCUUUGCCGAAAUUUGAUGUGCCCUCAAACACCUCUUUUCUCAUCGUACUUAGGGAAGAAGAAGACUUCCAUCGAGAGUCUACCUCUCUUGACUCACAUGCCGGGCACAUGUUGAGUGGCCCAAACUGUUGGCCCACGCCAAACUAGGCUGGACCAGGCCCACUGUGAAAGGGCCCGUACAUGAUCCAUCAUAGUUUUUCUUUUGCGUUUUGUUUCGACUGGAGAAUGGUCCACAUCGAGGGGAAAAAGAAUUUAGUUGCAGCAAGUAGGCAUUUUUCAUUUUAGUGAACCAAGUUUUGACAACAAAAGCUUUUGUUUAUGUGGAAGGCAUGCAGCCCCCUGCGAUUGAACUCUGAGAGAUACUGUAUCUUUAACCUUGCAUGGAUUAUUUGUUAAACAUUGAUUAGUUUUUACACAAAAAAAAAGUGCUAAGUUUUAUUGACUAAUUUCUUUUAGUACAAUUUAAUCUCAUUCUACUUAUCUACUGAUCAGGUGCUCUCAAAGAAUUUUGAGCUUGCAAGCUUGAAUUACAUAAGGGCCCGUUUGACAACAAGCAGACCCUACAUUUUUCUUUUUAGGUUUUUGAAAACAGAAAUCUAUCUUCUCCGUUAAAUGGCGAUUCAAAGAAGGCUUGCGGGCGACGCGCGUCCGGUUUGCCCAUGGUCACAUGCUGGCCGUAGUGCAAGGAUUAAAGGGCGAUCCAAAUAAGGCCUAUGGGCGAUGCGUGACUGGUUUGCCCACGGUCACGUGUCGAUCGUAGUGGAAUGCAUCUAUUUUCUGGCAGCUUUGAUGGCCUAUGUUGCGUGACCGUUAAAUUAAAAAAAUAACAAUAUAAAAUAAUGGGUGCCCUAUGUAUUUGAGACUAUCUGAAUUUAAGUCUAUCAGUGGAUCCAAUGCAUCCAAAAUGCCUUAGAGAUUAUGUACACAUAGAAAAUAAGUGCCCCAAAAUAAAAAAACUCAAUGGUGUUAGAGUAUACCCGAUUUUGACGGAUUGGGUCACAAAAAGGACUAACUAGUUGAAGGAAGGUUGUAUAAAGAAAAAAAAAAUAAUGUACUUGAAAAAUGGGAGGAAAUAGGCAGAACGUGCCUUCCUUUCCAUAUGAUCUGACAGUGCCAUUUAUUUAAAACAUGUAGCAAUUUUUAUUUGGUUAGAGAUGGAUAAGUUGGAGCCUCUUCGGUAGGCUCCUACCCUCUUCCCCUUGCGAUCUUAAUCAUCGGAUAUUCAGAAGACAGAAGCCAAAAAAAAGGUGCUAAAUCUGUAUCAAUAGCAAAUUAAUGUACAGAUGGCACAAUCACUUCGGCAUAGCAUAUAAAUACUGCAACCCCUUCCAUAUUUAUUUAUUUAUUUAUUUAUUUGCUAAAGUGGAUGUUUCAUAUUAUACGAAUAUAAAUAUAUUAAGAAGAGCAUACAAAAAGUCCGAAAACCCCUCCCACCUUUUGACAGGAUACAGAUAGUUAGUGAUGGAUCCGAUUGGAGAGUUACGCACCGGCCGUCGAACUCUUCGGGGCGCGAUUUGUGUUUUUAUAAUAUUUUUCGUUGGCCAGCCGGUGUGAGACCGACGCGCUAGCUACAGACGAUCUUCCACCUAUCGUGUGGGCCAAUUUGGGACAUUAUUCCCAACGUGUGGCUUGCGAGAAAAGAACUCAUGCACACUAGGGUGACAUGGGAGUAUGACAGGAGAGUUACAGAAAAAUAUUUUAGUUUGGGGGGGGGGGGAAGAGAGAGAGAGAGCAUGGAGGCUGUAUUAAUUCUUUUUGGAGGGAGAAGAGGGGGUCAUAUGUGGCAACUAGUGAAUCUGAAAAGGUCUCCAACUAAAAGGUGCCAUNNNNNNNNNNNNACUAAAAAAAGAUCCUCUACUGAUGCUAACAACAAAGAGAGGGAGAGAGAGAGAGAGAGAAGAAAAAAACCAAGCAUCCACUACAAGUCUACAAGUCUACAGAUAUGGUUUGGAAAUAAGAAUCCAAAUAUGUUUCAAUCUUUCCUCCUAUUCUCAAACAUGAGGAUUUACAAAUAAUAAACAUUAUGUUAAUGGAUUCAACUACCAUUUCCUUGCAUCCAAAUCUAAAUAUAAACCCAGAAUUACGAACUACUGUCUGACCCAUGCGUAUCCAACAUCCACAUCACCGGCCGUUACUUCUCCUUUCUAUCUGCCGAAGAUGCAAGUAGCCCAACGGCAAGCUUGUGUGGAGUUGAAUGUGAACAUGCAGAGGUCUUUUGAUGAAACUGGAGGCUCCUUGUCUAAAAAAAGGGCAAAGUCAACAAGCCAGUCCCAGUUUCAUAAUUAGAAGAAGCAAUAGGAGGUUCACCAUAAGAAAGGCAUGGGACAUCUUGUACUAAAUGUCUCAAGUUUGUAUUUUCAACUUUUGCUUUGUUUCUGGGGACCACUCGAAAUAGUUAUUGGACAAGAGCCUGUUUGGUUCAAGAAUUAUUACUCAACUCCUCUGAAACCGUCGCCAAUUUAGGGCCCUCCGGUCCAUUGUCAGAGAAGCAGUAACAAUCUUAAAACAACUAAACUCGAGCCAAAAAUGGGUGGAAUGCUCUUGAAACCAAUUCACUUUGAGUGACUCAGAGAAGAGUAGAAUUUUAUGUGUAGGGGUUAAAACCGUAGAUCUACGCCAAAAGCCAAGGCAGCUCUCUGGCCUUUGCACUCUCAUUAGGGAUGGAAAUGCCCAAGUAAAAGCAGAGAACAACAACAAAUAGGAUUCCAUAAUUCCGUUCCUCAAGCCCCAUUCUAAGUUUUCCCAUGCAACUUGAAGGGCAGGAUAAAGGGCAGAUCGAACCACCGACCACCAACCCUUUAACCUACCAAAAAAAAAACAAAUAUCAAAAUAGACCACAGCACCGAAACCCAAACUUGACACCCUCUCACAGAAGGCGCGGGCCCUAUUGUCUGUCCUCCACAUACCGAGUGCGCGUCGGCAUUCACAUCCCCAAUCUCUGCUCCUCUUCCUGCCUCUCACCAAUCAGAUCUCUCCACGUAGCCCUACUCUGCCCCAGUCCACGUGCCCGUUGCCAGCCACGGAUCUAUAACGCCCGACGCCGUCAACCUCCUCCGUCAAACUCGAAGCACCCAACUGGAACGAAAUUUAGAAUUAUUUAUUAUAAAAAAUCAAAUAAAAGCAAUAUAUAUUAUUAAUAAAUAAAUCAGCCAUCAAAACGCCCGUCAAGAGCGUAUCGCCGGUCGGCAGAAACCCUCGCCCUCGUCGCCCCUCUCCAAAGGAAAAGAAAAAAAAUCCCACUUUUCCCCUUCCCACCGCCUCCCCUUUCCCAUGGACGACGACGACGACGCCCGCUCCGAUUCCCAGUCCAAAUCGCUGUCGCAGUCCCAAUCCGAAUCCCCGCCGCCCUCGCCGCCCACGCACCCCAUCUCUGUAGUGGCGCCCUCCUCUGCCGCCGCCCCCAGCUCCCACCCCAACGGUCGCGCCGCCGUCGAGCCCGUCACCGUCGCCGCCCCGCCCCAGCACACCCUAACCCUGGCCCUCCCCAUCCAGCGACCCUCCGGCGGCGGCGGCGGCGGCGGCGGGGGCGGCCGCGAGGAUUGCUGGAGCGAGGGCGCCACCUCGACCCUGAUCGACGCGUGGGGGGAGCGGUACCUGGAGCUCAGUCGGGGGAACCUGAAGCAGAAGCACUGGCAGGAGGUGGCCGAUGCCGUCACCAGCCGCGACGGCUACACGAAGACCCACAAAACCGACAUGCAGUGCAAGAACCGGAUCGAUACUCUAAAGAAGAAGUAUAAGAUCGAGAAAUCGAAGAUCGCCUCCGGCGCCGCCGACACCUCCUCCUGGCCCUUCUUCAGCCGCCUGGAUGUCCUCCUCGGCCCCAACCACAAGCCCACCUCCACCCUGACCGCCACCCCCGCCCUGCCUGCCCCUGCCAAUCCCGGCAACCCCCACCAUCCCUCGAAAUUUCCGGCCGGAGUCGCCCUCCGGCCUCCAAUCCAACCCCAAUUCCCCCAGCGGCACCGCACCCCGCACCAUAGCAACAAGAGGGGGAGAUCGCCGCCCUCGGUGUCGUCCCGGUCGGCGGGGCUGUCGGCCGCCUCGUCUGAUGGGCUCCCUCCGGAGCCGGCCGUGCACGAGAAGCGGCGGAAGCGGGAGGCUGAGCUGGAGGAUGAGGAGGAGGGGCUGCGGGAGCUGACGCGGGCGAUACUGAGGUUCGGGAAGGUGUACAAGAGAGUGGAGAGCUCGAAGCUGCAACAGGCCAUGGAGAUGGAGAAGCAGAGGAUGGCGUUUGCGAGAGAGCUGGAGCUCCAGAGGAUGCAAUUCUUCAUGAAGACCCAGAUGGAGCUCACUCAGCUGAAAAGCUGCCAUCUUGGGAGGAGGAGGAGGAGGAGGAGGGAUGGAGCUGGUGCCAGUGGCAACGGCCGCCGCCACAACAACAGCAGCAACAGUAAUACCAGCCACAACAGUGGGUAGAUGGGGGAGGAGCAGGGGAUUUUUAUUUGUCGUUUAGAUGGUGGGAAGGAUUUGGAUCCCAGUGUUAGAUCUGAGAAUAGGACUUCGUAGACGACUCUACCCCUUCACUGAAUCGGAAAAUGGUGGAAGGAAAUUGUACUCUGUUCUCUCUUGGGCAAAUUUGAUUUAUUAAUGUUAUGAUGAUGGUAAUUAUAAAAAUGGUCCUCCUUUUCUUACAUGGAUGUGAUGCUCUCUGGAAGUUUUGGCAUCUCAUGUAUUAUUAGUAAGGAGAGGUCUUGGACCUAUUUGUCUUUUGAGCAGCAGCAGGAAUAUGGAAACCAAUUGUUAGGACCGUAUCCACAGUGGAUUUCGGGCAAAUUUAAUUUUUCUUAUGGUGGUGAUUAUGAUAAUGUUACAUUUUUCUCUUUUUAUGGAGACAUGGGUUCAGAGACCUAUUUGUGUUCGGAGUAGCAGGAGAUUAGGAAACCAAAUUUUAAUGCAAGAUAACUAUGAAAUGUAUAAACAGCUAAAUUUUUUCUCAAAAUCCAAAGAAGUCAUCAGUUAUUCCAAUGAAUCGGACUGCAUUCUGUUCUCUUGUGCAAACUAGUAAUAAUUUCGAUGAUGGUAUGAUCUUUUUAUAUAGAUCAUGUGUCUUUUAAUUGUCUUAGUGUGAGCAUGUUUGAAAAACAACCAAAAGAAAGAGAUCCUUUUCUCCAAAGCAAUAAAUAGUGGGCCUUAAGUUCAAUUGUCAUAAUAUUGUUCGCCCCAUCCAAUUUAUUAACAUUAUAAAGGCGGCUAACAUGCUUAAGAAUUGAAAAUUUAAAGAGCAGUAGAAUGCUUUUUUUCCGAAGAUCCAAUGAGAGACGAGACUCCAGAUUUAGAACGAGCAUUCAAAGAAAAAAUAAUAUGGAGUUUGUGAACCUAGGAGCAUUUAACAGGUAGCGUUAAGAUUUAUAUAAUUCGAAGCUACAAACAGAAUGCAUGAGUUGGUGAGACUGCUUGAUGUCCCCUUAUCAUAAACAGCAUCUAGAGACUAGAGUAAGUACAUAUUAUAAAAUAAAGAAAUAUAAAAUUAACCAUAAAAAAUAAAGAAAGGAACAGAAUUUGUAAACUAAAAUCUAAAUGAAAAGGUUGUUUAGCUUAAUUAUCAUACAUAUAACAUUAUUGAAUCUACAGACCACAGAACUAGUCGGUUGGUGGGGAUGAAAGAAGACCCCAAGUGAUACACAAGAUCUCAGAGUAUGGCAUGGUAGGGAGAUGCAGUUGAUGUAUCGAUGGAUGUACAAUCAGAGUUCAUAUAACUACUAAUUGGACCAGACAUGAAUGAGACCUUGCUUGUUGCCGGUGUAGAUCUCAUUCCUGUCCUCAUCAUAGAAGAGGGCAGUCACAUCCUCCAAAGCUUCCCUGAUGGUGCUCCUGAUGGUGGAUCGAUUAGGGGCACCUCGCUUGCGAGGGGCAAUCUGGAGUGCAGGGUCAAGCGGGCAUAUUUUGGCAAUGCACUUUCCGCUAAGGAUGUUGCUCAUGUUGAUAGACCCAACUGGAGGAGCUGCAGAGGUUAGAUCAUAGGAUCAGACAUCAUUGUGACACAAAAGGGAAACAAAUAAAAUUAAACCAUCUCAAAGCAAAGAAGAAACCUUCUCCCUCAUCUUCACUUCCAUCUUCAGCCUUGCAGUAGGAGAUGAUCAGGUCCUGGUCACUGGUGAUAUAAAUGUUGUUUGUAUUACAGUCCGGAUGCCACAGCAGGUGGUCUUCAAAGGAAGUAACGAGCUCUCCACGGAAAUUCCACACCGAAACUGUCCUGUUCCGGAACGUUAAGAAGAGGUGGUUCUCAUAGAGGAAGAUGAAUGCUGAGGGAGUCAUGAACUCAGAUCGGCUCACUUCAAUCAGCUCUGAAUUCCGCACCUGCAACAGCUAUAGAAUGUCACAACUCAAAUGAACAGUAUUCAACAGAGAUUUAAGGAUGAAAAGGAUUUAGCAUUCGACAUCAAGAAUCUGCAGGUUCUCAUUCUCUUGCUUGACCAAAAGCUUCUCAUUGAACUGCUCGAUGAAAUCAACCUUCUUGUUGCGGUGUAACAGAUGAGUGAAAGAUUUCAACACUGUUCCAUCUUCAAUUGACAGGAUUGUCAGUGGUACAUAACCAGGAGUCCUCUGGUAUAUUAGCAGCAUGAUUCCCGGACUGAAAUCAGGGGAGAAAGAGAGAGAGAACCAGACAUCAUAACAUGGAAAGAAUCAGAUGCAUCAAAGUAUGAGUGAUGCAUUUAUGAGUCAGUUGAAAAAAGAAUCAAAACCUUAUUUUGAUCUCCUGUAUAUUCUUAUCACAUAUUGAGUACAAAUAGGAGUAAUUCUUCAGGUCAAACACCUUGUAAGUGCUGCAAAUGUUUGCAUGAAUCUGAUUAGACAACUAGAUAGCCAUAUCGUGAUAUCAAUACACAGAAGGGACAAAAGGUUGCUUACCCAUCCUGAGCUGAAUAAGUUAGUACUUUGCCAUUUACAUCAUCAAAUUCAACAAAACCAGGCCAUUUUAGUGACUCAGUCUCAAAAAGAGGAUAGCCAGCAUCCAAUUGAUUCCUCCUAAUAUACCUGUCAGAGUUCCAUAAAAUGUCAUGAAUGAAGGUUGAAAAGCUUAUCGAAUUUAGAUAUCAAUAUGAACUAUUCACCCACGAAUUGCUGACCCUAAAUAUUUAGGAUAACUUGAUUAUUAACUAGCUGUACCAUAAUUGACCCUAUAACUAAUUGUGAAAAAAAUCAAGAUGUAAUCUCAAUAAAAGAUGCAAUGAGCUAUAACCUCUCCCAGGGAACCCUAUCUUUUUUGUAAUGCGGGUAUGCCAUAAGCAUUGGUGAGAAUCCCACCUUUUAUGUAAUAAACCACUUUGACAGUUUCAACUUUUAUUCUCUUCAGAAAAAAGGAGACAUUUUCAACUUUACCAUCACUCUAUAGAUAUCAAGAAUCAGAGAGAUAAACAGUGUUUUUUUUUCACAAAUACAAGAAUAACUAGAGGAAAAACAAUAAAAAAUUAGCGAUCUUGGAAAGUUAAGAUUCUGACAUAAAUUAAAUUUCUUACUCUAUUGGAGUUGUCCUGCACUUCAAGGAACUGAAAUGGUCCGAUGCGUAAACCGACACUGUGAUAAGUGACUCAUUAUUCUUAUUAUAAAACAAGCUUCUAAUCACUUCAUCAGGGCUUAUGUUCAAGAAACAUAUGCGUUUGUUUGUCGCUGUAAACAAAAGAAGAAAGAAGCGCAAAUGACAAUCAAAUUAAACAAAAGGGUCGAUAGAAAACUGUAAAAUCAACAGGCUUACUCCGACUAAAAGCAGCACAGAGGCCCGAUUGUGCAAGAGCAAAUAUGACAUCUUUUGCUGCAACAAUCUCAAUGAUUUUGGACCUCUUCUUUAGAAAUUGCAGUCUUAGAAAAAAAUGGAUAUUGUGAUCAUAGGUAUCAAACUCCUCCUGCAUUACCCAAAAAAGGAAUCAUUUCUUUUCUGAUAGCAAACAAAGGAAUCAUUUCAAAUAUGCAGCCUUUAUUUAGCAUAAGGCAAGGUUAGAACUGAGGAAGAUUAGACCUUGUCAAUUCACAGUGAGUAAUGAAUUUCAUAGAAAAGUACUUUUUUUGAGAAUAUACUUAAGCACUAUUGCUUAAUCAAUAAGACACGCCCACAGCCCUAUCUUGUUUUAUAAACCAAACAGAAAAUAGAAAAAGGGUGUUCUGACUUUCCUAGGUAGAUAAAUCUUUGUUACAUAAUACCCUGAGAAGAUUGGUCAGAAGCACAGAUAAAAAAGGUACCAAGAUGAGCUAAGAAAAUGAGGAAUACAACAGGUUCCAAUACAUGUAUCUAAAGCAAGGCUGAAAAUCUAAGUUUUAGUGGGCAUUUCGGUUAAGAUUCUAGAAUUGGGGGAAAACAAAGCUCAGAUAAUAUAAAACUAAAUACUAUGUGGAAGAUUCUAACAUGCUGGGGGCACUAACAUGUCUGACAAGGCAUCAUUUGCAAAACCAAGUGAUAUAUCACUAUAGCAAAAGACUUUAAAACUUCUCAUAAUUGCCAGGAAGGAAGAACAUCAAGAUUUAAAACUAUAUGGAACUCUUAAAAUUAGUGGCUCAUAGAAAUGCAUAUUCUGAAGGCUUUCUGGCUGCUCAAGCAUUAUGGCUUCUAUCUAGAUGCUAAAUCUCCCAAGGACUUUAAGUACACAUUUUGCAUGUUCACCUAGCCAUUGCAAUUGAGGGUGGUUAACCAGAAAAAAAGAAUAAACAUGAGAAAUUUACUUUUGCUCAAAAGAGAUUCAGCAGUAGAGGCAUUGACUUGUGCAAGGCUCAGACAGUUUUUUGAAUAUAUACUAUAUCUUAGUAGGUAUGCAUAAACAUGCAGGAGAUAUUUGUUGAAAGGCGAUACUAAACAAAGACUUCAUUAGCUAUUGUUCCUACUCUUUGUGCAUUUUUUAAUGCUUUUUUACUAUCCCAUAACAAAAAGAUUGACUUUAUCACCUCGUAGAAAGUACGAAAUUAAUUAAAGAAGAAAAGAAACUACACUUGCACUUUCCAUGACAUAUCCUAAAUUGCAACCUGAGAGAUAUGAGAGAAUAUGGAUCUUCUGCCUCAAAAGAUAGCACUUUCAGUGACAGCACAUCUAUGAUAUAUAUAUAUAGACAUUGGUUUCAAGUGGAAAUGAAUGUUCUUCUCCUCCAUAUUUAUCUUUGGAGGUUUUUAUAGCUCCACCACCUCACAAAGAAAUACCUUAUCAUGCUGUGGCCACGUUUUGCUUCAUGAUAUAGGGAAUGUAGCAAGCCAGCACACUGAAACCUUUCCCUCAACCCUAUAAAAUGCGAGUCCUUAAAACCUCAAGUGUAAGCUGUUGUGCUGGAAAGGUAAAAGAUGCUAACAUGAACUGAAUAAAUUAUCCUGCUUGUUAGUUACAAUCUCGAAUUCUAGCUGGUACGUUGCUCUCUUAUUUCAAUGGUCAACAUUCUCGCAGAACAGAUGCUUGCUCAUGCUGCACUCACACUGCAAUAGCCUGAUUCGGAAGAAUGGCAACCAUCUGAUUUUAUGCCAUGUGUCACCAUGUGGGUGGUUGCUACAUUAAGAUACCGAAAUAUUAUAAAUAUCAAAAUGAACUAAAUGUUAAUGAUGCCUUGAUUAUAGAUGUGGUUUAUGCUAAAAGUACACAUAUUAACUUUAUAUUUAGCUCUUCAUUAGAAGGAUUGCAUAAGAUGAAGGCUAACAGAUCAGUGGCUGAUGGGGAUAUUUGCAACUUUGAGCUUGCAGGUUUGAAAUAAGCCUGAAGCAAUGAUGAAUAUCAGGUCACAAUGGAGAGCGACAAAAGUAGCCUUAUCCCAUAACCUCAAGGUUGGUCUCUUCCUAUGAACCAUGCAAUAUUAUUGUGUUUUCUACUUGUACAUACUUUCUCAGACGAGAAUGAUCAUAAUGUAUCUUAUAAAGUGUAGCACCAAAGAUAUAUCUUUUCCUCACAAUCCUUUUUAUUAAGUGAUUUAAUUAUGAGAUACUGUUUUGAAAAUAUUUCCCUAGAGUGAUGUAUUAUUAUGCAGCAGAACCUAACAGUCAGAAGCAGCGAAAAAGAAUAAAAGAAACACAUUUUGUUUCAGUGUGGAAUAACCCUAACAUUUGGUUUCUGGAGAACAUUCUUUUCUUGAUACAUCUUGACAAGCCUAGAAAGUAAAUUACUACUUUCUGCUAGGAUCUUAUGGUCCAAAAUAAGUGACAAAUCAAAGAGAGAGAAUGAUGCUGCUUGCCCUUACUUGAAAAUGAAGUCAAUUUAUAUGGGAUUCAUAUUGUGAAUUCUUCUUCAUAAUUAUUCCUAAUAAGGACUACUGAUUUUGACAAGGCAAAAAUAUUCCAAAUCAUUUCAAAUAACUUCUAUUUAUGUUUUCUUAGACCUUCCAUUACACACUUAUCCUUGCACGUAAUUUGAAGCCAGUUUACUAGUACAGUAAAAUAAGAUGUGACCAAAGUGACAACUGAUUAAGAGCAAGAAACCGCUGAAACCCAGUUUCU
This 38709-nucleotide long non-coding RNA is filed under the name Phoenix dactylifera (date palm). RNAcentral describes it as "long non-coding RNA (PDAC_LNC004144)". Lineage: Eukaryota; Viridiplantae; Streptophyta; Magnoliopsida; Arecales; Arecaceae. The record is from RNAcentral.